GACGAACGCUGGCGGCGUGCUUAACACAUGCAAGUCGAACGGAAAGGCCCUGCUUUUGUGGGGUGCUCGAGUGGCGAACGGGUGAGUAACACGUGAGUAACCUGCCCUUGACUUUGGGAUAACUUCAGGAAACUGGGGCUAAUACCGGAUAGGAGCUCCUGCUGCAUGGUGGGGGUUGGAAAGUUUCGGCGGUUGGGGAUGGACUCGCGGCUUGUCAGCUUGUUGGUGGGGUAGUGGCUUACCAAGGCUUUGACGGGUAGCCGGCCUGAGAGGGUGACCGGCCAAAUUGGGACUGAGAUACGGCCCAGACUCCUACGGGAGGCAGCAGUGGGGAAUAUUGCACAAUGGGCGGAAGCCUGAUGCAGCAACGCCGCGUGCGGGAUGACGGCCUUCGGGUUGUAAACCGCUUUCGCCUGUGACGAAGCGUGAGUGACGGUAAUGGGUAAAGAAGCACCGGCUAACUACGUG
This 468-nucleotide ribosomal RNA is filed under the name uncultured bacterium. RNAcentral's name for it is "partial 16S ribosomal RNA". It matches the Rfam family "Bacterial small subunit ribosomal RNA", at positions 28 to 507 of the family's 1533-position model. The record is from RNAcentral.